RNAcentral lists this ribosomal RNA (481 nucleotides) under Fusarium solani. Its description in RNAcentral is "partial 28S ribosomal RNA". The stretch from base 1 to 210 matches the Rfam family "Eukaryotic large subunit ribosomal RNA", at positions 3184 to 3401 of the family's 3401-position model. Lineage: Eukaryota; Fungi; Ascomycota; Sordariomycetes; Hypocreales; Nectriaceae. The record is from RNAcentral.
GGACAAGAAUAGGCUUCGGCUUAGCGUCUUAGCAGGCGAUUCUUCCACGGCGCACGAAGCGCGUCGUGGUAUUUCGCGUAUUGUAAUUUCAACACGAGCGGGGUCAAAUCCUUUGCAGACGACUUAGCUGUGCGAAACGGUCCUGUAAGCAGUAGAGUAGCCUUGUUGUUACGAUCUGCUGAGGGUAAGCCGUCCUUCGCCUCGAUUUCCCAGUGAAUGGCUCCGUCAGGUUACGGGGCUUCGCAGGGGUUUCAGGGGAGCGGGCCCAGUAGCUUUGGCCGCUGCUCGAAAAGUCCAGCGUCUUGGAGGCAGGUUUUAUUCCUGAUGCGCCAGAUGACGGACGGUCAAAGGACCAACUUGAAAAAUUCUCGUUGCGGGUUUUUUUUUCUUUGAAGUUUUAAACUUCUUAAGGAAUUUCUUAAGCGUUCGCAGGCUGUAGCAGGGAAUGAAUUCUCAUCCCCGGUUAUUUCCCCCCCCCCAA